CGACUAAGCCAUGCAAGUCAUAUGUUCCUCGUGAACAUGGCAUACUGCUCAGUAACACGUGGAUAACCUGCCCUUGGGUCUGGGAUAACCCCGGGAAACUGGGGAUAAUACCGGAUAACGCAUAUGUGCUGGAAUGCUUUAUGCGUAAAACGGAUUCGUCCGCCCAAGGAUGGGUCUGCGGCCUAUCAGGUAGUAGUGGGUGUAAUGUACCUACUAGCCAACAACGGGUACGGGUUGUGAGAGCAAGAGCCCGGAGAUGGAUUCUGAGACAUGAAUCCAGGCCCUACGGGGCGCAGCAGGCGCGAAAACUUUACAAUGCGGGAAACCGUGAUAAGGGAACACCGAGUGCCAGCAUCAUAUGCUGGCUGUCCAGAUGUGUAAACUACAUCUGUUAGCAAGGGCCGGGCAAGACCGGUGCCAGCCGCCGCGGUAACACCGGCGGCCCGAGUGGUGACCGUUAUUAUUGGGUCUAAAGGGUCCGUAGCCGGUUUGGUCAGUCCUCCGGGAAAUCUGAUAGCUUAACUGUUAGGCUUUCGGGGGAUACUGCCAGGCUUGGAACCGGGAGAGGUAAGAGGUACUACAGGGGUAGGAGUGAAAUCUUGUAAUCCCUGUGAGACCACCUGUGGCGAAGGCGUCUUACCAGAACGGGUUCGACGGUGAGGGACGAAAGCUGGGGGCACGAACCGGAUUAGAUACCCGGGUAGUCCCAGCCGUAAACUAUGCUCGCUAGGUGUCAGGCAUGGCGCGACCGUGUCUGGUGCCGCAGGGAAGCCGUGAAGCGAGCCACCUGGGAAGUACGGCCGCAAGGCUGAAACUUAAAGGAAUUGGCGGGAA
Molecule: ribosomal RNA, 834 nt
Filed under: uncultured archaeon
Lineage: Archaea
Description: bacterial SSU rRNA
Rfam family: Archaeal small subunit ribosomal RNA
Source: RNAcentral